This 492-nucleotide long non-coding RNA is filed under the name Manihot esculenta (cassava). RNAcentral describes it as "long non-coding RNA (MESC_LNC000037)". The record is from RNAcentral. Lineage: Eukaryota; Viridiplantae; Streptophyta; Magnoliopsida; Malpighiales; Euphorbiaceae.
ACCUACAGGAACUGGUUAAAAAAAGGACCAAGAACUACAUAGGUCUGAUACUCACUUCCUUGAAAAGAGGGAGACAAGUUAUGUAGGUUGUGACCGUUCAAGAAAUGUAGCGGUUGCUCGACCAAAGCCGAUCAAAGAAUCGAUUAUAUGCCUGAUAUUGCCAGAAGACCGAUGAUACUUACCAGAAGUGAAGUAGAGAAGAGCAGGAAAUUUCAUAUUUUGAAUAAAAAACUUAAGAUGUUCAUCUCCAAGCCUAGCCUACUCUACAUUAUCAUAUGGUUUCGCGGGCCAAAGUCUAAAAGCCGGUCAAUAAGACAGAUCCGGAUCCUAGUGCUUUCGAGAUGGUUCGAUCGCUAACAAAGACAAGCAUAGGAAAGAGCAGACUCCCAACAAGCAAACAAGCAACUCCAAGAGCUCAAACCUAAAGCAAAGCGGUAAGGCGCAUCCUCAUUGCUCGCAAGCGUAGGCUCGAAGGCCGAAGCGCGCUAGUGC